This 301-nucleotide ribosomal RNA is filed under the name Escherichia coli. Its description in RNAcentral is "partial 23S ribosomal RNA". It matches the Rfam family "Bacterial large subunit ribosomal RNA", at positions 2642 to 2925 of the family's 2925-position model. The record is from RNAcentral. Lineage: Bacteria; Pseudomonadati; Pseudomonadota; Gammaproteobacteria; Enterobacterales; Enterobacteriaceae.
CUGCCGUGGGCGCUGGAGAACUGAGGGGGGCUGCUCCUAGUACGAGAGGACCGGAGUGGACGCAUCACUGGUGUUCGGGUUGUCAUGCCAAUGGCACUGCCCGGUAGCUAAAUGCGGAAGAGAUAAGUGCUGAAAGCAUCUAAGCACGAAACUUGCCCCGAGAUGAGUUCUCCCUGACCCUUUAAGGGUCCUGAAGGAACGUUGAAGACGACGACGUUGAUAGGCCGGGUGUGUAAGCGCAGCGAUGCGUUGAGCUAACCGGUACUAAUGAACCGUGAGGCUUAACCUUACAACGCCGAAG